RNAcentral lists this ribosomal RNA (406 nucleotides) under uncultured bacterium. RNAcentral's name for it is "partial 16S ribosomal RNA". It matches the Rfam family "Bacterial small subunit ribosomal RNA", at positions 30 to 526 of the family's 1533-position model. The record is from RNAcentral.
AUUGAACGCUGGCGGCAGGCAUAACACAUGCAAGUCGAACGAGUGGCGGACGGGUGAGUAAUGUCUGGGAAACUGCCUGAUGGAGGGGGAUAACUACUGGAAACGGUAGCUAAUACCGCAUACCAUCGGAUGUGCCCAGAUGGGAUUAGCUAGUAGGUGGGGUAAAGGCUCACCUAGGCGACGAUCCCUAGCUGGUAUGAGAGGAUGACCAGCCACACUGGACUGGCGACGCGGUCCAGACUCCUACGAGAGGCAGCAGUGGGGAAUAUUGCACAAUGGGCGCAAGCCUGAUGCAUCCAUGCCGCGUGUAUGAAGAAUGCCUUCGGGUUGUAAAGUUCUUUCAGCGGUGAGGCGUUACCCGCAGAAGAAGCACCGGCUAACUCCGUGCCAGCAGCCGCGGUAAUUC